GCCAGCAUGGUGUAGUGGUUAGAGCAUCAGGCUAGGACCCAGGAGACCAGGGUUCAAAUCCCCACUUGGCC
Podarcis lilfordi (Lilford's wall lizard) is the source of this 71-nucleotide non-coding RNA. The record is from the annotation of a GenBank genome assembly. NCBI's taxonomy places the organism in Eukaryota, Metazoa, Chordata, Lepidosauria, Squamata, Lacertidae.